GCAAAGAUCAAAGGUCAAAUGGAUGAGAUGGUUUGUCACCAGGUUUGGGGUGUUCAAUUUCACUAUAAUUCUGUCCAUCCAACAUAUUUAUUGAAAUUCACUGCAAAAGGAUCUAAUGGAGAUUUUCCCAAUCCAUUUCAGCCAAGGCAAAAAGUACUAUGAAGGCACCACUGAUCUCGACAAGAGGCGCAACAUUCGGAGAAAUUCAGGGCAAGCAUAUGUACUUACUGGGGAAGGAUGGCCAGCUACACAGGAGGGUGAUUUUUACAAAGGAGGAGAUGGAGGCCGUGCUGACCGAGAUGCAUGCUGGCCAUUACGGAGUGAAGCACAUGAUUGCCAAAAUCAACCUACGCUUCUGACGGGGAAUUGUCAAGGAGGUGGACAUCUGGGCAAUUGAAAUAACCUUUUGUUUAUCAAUCACAUUCUAUUUUAUCUGAAAUUCUCAUGAUUUCAAUGAACGUCACAUCAGAGAGCACACAAUGUUUCAAUUUGUCACUUUUGCCAAAAGGUCAGUACCCUGUCUAGCCUGCAAGAAGUUUGAGAAGGCAAAGACUGGUGCCGGAGUUGAGGCCCAUCAAAGUUGUUUCACCAAGGCACAUGAUCGAUAAGUGUCCCAAUUCAAAUUUUGCCCUGAUAUGUUGUGCUUUAUUUGACCACAG
RNAcentral lists this long non-coding RNA (659 nucleotides) under Salmo salar (Atlantic salmon). RNAcentral describes it as "lncRNA (ENSSSAG00000100578.1, ENSSSAG00075011196.1)". The record is from RNAcentral. Lineage: Eukaryota; Metazoa; Chordata; Actinopteri; Salmoniformes; Salmonidae.